Molecule: transfer RNA, 67 nt
Filed under: Karusasaurus polyzonus
Lineage: Eukaryota; Metazoa; Chordata; Lepidosauria; Squamata; Cordylidae
Description: tRNA-Cys
Source: RNAcentral
AGCCCCGGCACACUUUAGUGUGCUUCUUCAAAUUUGCAAUUUGCUGUGGAGAUCACCACAGGGCUUG